This is a long non-coding RNA of Oncorhynchus tshawytscha (Chinook salmon), 1136 nucleotides long. The record is from Ensembl. Lineage: Eukaryota; Metazoa; Chordata; Actinopteri; Salmoniformes; Salmonidae.
AUGGCUUUCAAAAAUAAAGCUGAACUGAUGUGACUUGAAAAUGCUCCACACAUUCCAGUCCAAAGAGAAAGGCACAGACCAAACACUGGAACACUUGCGGAAGAAAUACAACACAGUGUUCAGUGAUCAGAUGGGAACAGUAAAAGGCUUCACAGCAAAACUUGUACUGAGAGAUGAUGCAACCCACAAAUUCUGCAAAGCCAGAUCUGUUCCAUACUCCCUGAGACCAAAGGUGGACGCGGAAAUCGAUCGCUUGCAGGAUACAGGGAUCCUGACGAAAGUGGACAGAAGCGAAUGGGCCAACACCCAUAGUUCCUAUUAUGAAGAAAGACGGGUCUGUUAGAAUGUGUGGGGACUUCAAGGUAACUGUGAAUUCAAUGUUGCAUGUGGACCAAUACCCCCUGCCAUGUCUGGAUGACAUCUUUGCUGCACUAGCUGGUGGGAAACACUUCAGUAAAAUCGAUCUGAAACGGGCUUUACCUACAGCUACCGGUUGAAGAGAGCUCCAAACAGUACCUGACAAUGUGAGUGUGAGUUCUUCAAAAACCAGAUUGUCUUCUGUGGACAUGAAAUCGACCGCAAUGGAUUGCACAAAACACAGGACAAAAUCGAGGCAGUGGUACAGGCAGCACGACCACAAAAUAUCACAGAAGUGAGAUCUUUUACGGGACUGAUCAAUUACUACAGAAGAUUCCUCCCACACCUUUCAGCAGUACUCCAGCCUCUAAAUCAGCUCCUGGAAAAGAAUAGGACAUGGCCGUGUACAGAACAGUGUGAAAAUGCAUUUCUUGAGGCAAAACGGCUCAUCACAUCUGAACAGGUCCUGAUGCAUUACGACCCUGAACUGCCAGUGAAGUUGGCUUGUGAUGCGUCCCCUUAUGGCUUAGGGGCCGUCCGAAGACGAAGUUACAGAGAGCCUUGCAUCACGCACUCCUGCCAUCCAUCACGCACACCUGCCUUCCCUCGUCACGCGCAUCAGCGAUAUUGGACUCACCUGGACUCACUCAUCACCUGUUUAUUUCCUCCCCUAUAUUAGUCAGUUCCCUGCUGUGUUCCCCACUGCUGCAUUGAUUGUGUUUUUGUCUUUGUUUUCUGUUUGCUAACGCUGUUCCUAUCUUGUUCAAUGUCCGUUGUUU